Molecule: RNA transcript, 3036 nt
Organism: Spinacia oleracea (spinach)
Lineage: Eukaryota; Viridiplantae; Streptophyta; Magnoliopsida; Caryophyllales; Amaranthaceae
Exons: 12
Source: RefSeq, a predicted model, not a curated record
CAUCGGUGACUGUAUACUUAAUUGUCCAGUAAGAUAUCCAAAAACAAAAUAUACGGAGUGCUGAUAAAAAACGAGGAAGCGCGCCAAGUGGUAGUUUUGCGAAGCGUGUGCGUCGUGACCUUUCGAACUUGCGGUGAUGGCGACGGCGGAAGCUUGCACUGACGGCGGCACCGUCAUUUCGCGCCUUUUCUCUCUCAUCGAAAAAUUUCUCCCCCGUCCUUUCACCGAACUGGAGCUGAUUACGUUAACCAAAGAGAAAGAGACAGAGCUUCUUAUUUCUCUCUCCCAGACUGUAAACAAAAUUCGAUGCUGGACGGAUGGACAACUACAACAAGGGAGUAUCAGAAGUAGCGACAGCCGGAACUCCGAUUUGCAUUGUGGAGAUGACGAACUUCUGACCAAGAUAAUUGCAAAUUUGGUCUCAUUACUGAAUGCCAAGAGUCAAUAUGUUCGUCAUAUGGUGGGAAACAUAUUUCUAGUCAUCUCGGAGUUUCUUCUACCCUAUGGAGGCAGCUGGGACGAGUUUAUUCAUCUGUUAUGUGUUUGCUUUGAGCUUGCAAUGUGUAAUAUCCUACGACAUUUGCCACAAUCUUUGGUGACUGAAGCUGACAACUCAAAGUCUAUUGUAUCAAACAUGAAACUUGUCUUGGACAAUUCAACCUGGAAUGGUAUAGCUGAAAUUUUACGUAUCUUACGGGGGAUAGUAAAACAAUUGAAGGGUACAGAUGAUGAUGAAUCUGUGGGAGUAUUGCUGGAUUCUUUGAGUAUCUGUCUGACGAAAAUUCCUUGGGAUUUACUGAAUGGAAUUCACGACAGUGAUGUCAAAGUUGGAGGUUCGUCUGGUGAGGCAGCAGCAAAACUCUUGUUUAUGGGGAAUCUUGUUCAGCUACUCUGCUCUGUAGUUAGUGUUAUUGGGUAUGAAGACUCGGCUGGCUCUGACCAUAAAUUGACUAUUCUCCAUGAGACCUGUGAUAUUAUUCCUAGACUGCUAGUAUGGUGCCAUGUUGAAGAAUGGAGUCAUAUCCUUCAAUAUUUCCGGCACAAAAUUUUGAUGUUGAUGACAAAACUUAGCAUUCAUAUGCAACUUGAUUGUUCAGUUCUCAUUCUGUGGUUGCAACUACUUCAUGAAUAUUAUCAAGAUUUACUCUCAAGUUCCAUUUCUGAGCUUGAAUGUGGUCAAAAUGAUACUUUGGAUGGCUCUCCUUUCUUGUUGUCUCUUGAUGACCAAGAAGUUUGUCAACUGUCUUCACACCAUCUACAAAGGAAAUCUGUUUUUCUUUUCUUAAGAUGGACCAUGAGCUUGAUUAACCUCGGAAAAACAUCUGACUUCAAAUGUACUUGUGCAAGGCCAAACUCAUUCAUUGAAUCUGAUUUGAAAACAGUCAAAGAUUGUUUUGCCAAAAAGAAGGGGCUACUUCAGUUGCAUGGGUGGCUUCAGGGUCAUGUUCCUUCCAACGUGUUAUCAGAAAAUGGGAUAAAUCUUGAUAAGUGCAUCAAAUUUGCUGCAUCCUUCAUCAGAUUUUACAUGCAAGAGGAUGAUAUGUUAUUUGAAGUACUCCUGCAGAUGUUCACUAUACCUUCAUGGGCUGAUAGACUGUUUUCUGAACAGGGGAGGGCUUGUCAUGACACUGAAGACGACAUUCUUUUUUACAUGUCAAAUCUUUUUAACCCUUUGCUUCUGUUUCAUGUAUUUCUUGCGGAAUUGCAAUAUGAUCAUCAACUGCUUCUUGAUUAUCUUAUUUCGAAAGACGUAGGAGGGAAAUGUGCCGAAUAUCUGUUAAGGUGCUUGCGUAUUGUGUGUGAUUCGUGGAAACUAUUUGUCGAGUACUCUGUCAGAGAAAGUCUUGUUUGCCAAGGAUUUUCUCAAGAGGGUUGCAAGAGAAGAAGGGCAUCUCAUGAGGAUUCUUCUGAUGGGCGGAUUGAUACGACGGGGCAAAGUAAGCUUGGCUUGUUGUCUGAGCAAAACCAAGGAGAGUUCAAUCUGGGCAGCAAGUUUUUCGGGAGUAGAUACCUGCAAGUUGAGGGUGCCAAAGGAUGCUUGCUUUCUCUGAAAAGCGCCUUGAGAAAGCUUCAUAAGAGGAAGUUAUUUCCAUAUAAUCCAGAAGUGCUUAUAAGACGUUUAAAUAGGUUUGAGGAGCUCUGUGAUCAACUUGUUUAGACUCUAGCACUCUUAAGACAGAAGAUAUAGGCAUCUACGUCGUUUGUGCAGCCCCUUUGUUCAUUUGCAAAUGUGGUAAUUCUAAGCUGCAAGAAGGAUUUGAUGUUCUUGGAAACAUUGGGUGGAUAAUUUCAUAAUUGAAGAAUCAGCUUUUGUGCCAUGGUAUACAGUAUCCUUGAUGCUUUCGUUUGCACUUACUGCCUGGAAUGUUGUCUAGACGGAGGUGGAACCAAAGCAGUAUUCAUGUUCAACCAAUUUGGAUCUUACUUAGCUUCGAAUGCGGGAGGCUUGUAUUCAAGUUUCAACUUCUUAAAGUGAUCUACGGAUCAUGUGUUGAUGGAGUUGGGGAAGAAAGGAUGUCUAUAUAUACUCCUACGAGAGCGUUGCUGUCAAGGCCUCUCCUGGGGAGUCGUAUGUCAGACUUGUGUAUUGAACCAGAAUUCUUCAGGAACUGACUCAGCAAACUUCAACAGUGUAAGCAAGAAAUGACAUUUUAAACCUAGCGUAUUAUUACUACUUUUCAUAUAAUUUCGGUAUCCAUAAAAGAUGCGCUUUUUCUUUUACAAAUCAAAUGAUGGUUUGGUGUUAAGCGCAAAGGCAGUGAAGAAAACUCCUACUGAUAUAUUUUUGUGAGGAAUUUUCCUUAUAAAGGGCAAUGAGCUAAUGACCCUAAGACCCUUCCUCCAAGACUAUUCCCAACCAGAACGACCUUAUCUUUGGACAACAAUGCCAUCAAUACAAGGGAAGGCUUGUAAUACUCUUUAAAGGCAUAGAUCUUAUCUAUUGGCUUCAAUGCUUCAUGUUCUUGUUGAUUCUGGAGGCUACCAUGAGGUCCAUGACCCUUAUCAAGGGCUAUUUAGUAAUUUCUCUUAUGAUCA